Molecule: ribosomal RNA, 497 nt
Filed under: uncultured bacterium
Lineage: Bacteria
Description: partial 16S ribosomal RNA
Rfam family: Bacterial small subunit ribosomal RNA
Source: RNAcentral
GAUGAACGCUGGCGGCGUGCCUAAUACAUGCAAGUCGAGCGAACGGACGAGAAGCUUGCUUCUCUGAUGUUAGCGGCGGACGGGUGAGUAACACGUGGAUAACCUACCUAUAAGACUGGGAUAACUUCGGGAAACCGGAGCUAAUACCGGAUAAUAUUUUGAACCGCAUGGUUCAAAAGUGAAAGACGGUCUUGCUGUCACUUAUAGAUGGAUCCGCGCCGCAUUAGCUAGUUGGUAAGGUAACGGCUUACCAAGGCAACGAUGCAUAGCCGACCUGAGAGGGUGAUCGGCCACACUGGAACUGAGACACGGUCCAGACUCCUACGAGAGGCAGCAGUAGGGAAUCUUCCGCAAUGGACGAAAGCCUGACGGAGCAACGCCGCGUGAGUGAUGAAGGUCUUCGGAUCGUAAAACUCUGUUAUUAGGGAAGAACAUAUGUGUAAGUAACUGUGCACAUCUUGACGGUACCUAAUCAGAAAGCCACGGCUAACUACGUG